Molecule: ribosomal RNA, 493 nt
Filed under: uncultured bacterium
Lineage: Bacteria
Description: bacterial SSU rRNA
Rfam family: Bacterial small subunit ribosomal RNA
Source: RNAcentral
AAAGGAAUUGACGGGGACCCGCACAAGCGGUGGAGUAUGUGGCUUAAUUCGAUGCAACGCGAAGAACCUUACCAAGGCUUGACAUCCCGAGACCGCCUAUGAAAGUAGGUUUUCUAUUCGUAGACUCGGAGACAGGUGCUGCAUGGCCGUCGUCAGCUCGUGUCGUGAGAUGUUUGGUUAAGUCCAGCAACGAGCGCAACCCCUGCUGCCAGUUACCAUCAUUAAGUUGGGGACUCUGGCGGGACUGCCCAGAUCAACUGGGAGGAAGGUGGGGACGACGUCAGGUCAGUAUGGCCCUUAUGCCUUGGGCUGCACACGUACUACAAUGCCCAGUACAGAGGGAAGCAAGCAGGCGACUGCAAGCAGAUCCCGAAAAGUGGGCCCAGUUCGGAUUGGAGGCUGCAACUCGCCUCCAUGAAGCCGGAAUCGCUAGUAAUGGCGCAUCAGCUACGGCGCCGUGAAUACGUUCCCGGGUCUUGUACACACCGCCCGU